RNAcentral lists this ribosomal RNA (434 nucleotides) under uncultured bacterium. Its description in RNAcentral is "partial 16S ribosomal RNA". It matches the Rfam family "Bacterial small subunit ribosomal RNA", at positions 29 to 507 of the family's 1533-position model. The record is from RNAcentral.
AGCGAACGCUGGCGGCAGGCCUAACACAUGCAAGUCGAACGAACCUUUCGGGGUUAGUGGCGGACGGGUGAGUAACACGUGGGAACGUGCCUUUAGGUUCGGAAUAACUCAGGGAAACUUGUGCUAAUACCGAAUGUGCCCUUCGGGGGAAAGAUUUAUCGCCUUUAGAGCGGCCCGCGUCGGAUUAGCUAGUUGGUUGAGGUAAUGGCUCACCAAGGCGACGGUCAGUAGCUGGUCUGAGAGGAUGAGCAGCAACAUUGGGACUGAGACACGGCCCAAACUCCUACGGGAGGCAGCAGUGGGGAAUCUUGCGCAAUGGGCGAAAGCCUGACGCAGCCAUGCCGCGUGAAUGAUGAAGGUCUUAGGAUUGUAAAAUUCUUUCACCGGGGACGAUAAUGACGGUACCCGGAGAAGAAGCCCCGGCUAACUUCGUG